Myotis lucifugus (little brown bat) is the source of this 130-nucleotide small nucleolar RNA. Lineage: Eukaryota; Metazoa; Chordata; Mammalia; Chiroptera; Vespertilionidae. The record is from Ensembl.
GCGCUGCUGUUGAGCCCCCGCUGUGCCUGUGUGUGGUGUGGGUUCAGACUGCAGCACCAGAGCACAUGCUUGUGCAUAAUGGGGGCCGACUGCUCCCCACCAGUGGCCUUUUUAGCCCUGAGCUACGUGG